UGCUUCUGGCAUGAAAACAGAGCUAGGGUUCUCAACUCUGGGCUGCAAAGCAAAAUCAGGUAGCAGCUUUUAAAAAAUACAGGUGCCUGACUUGUCCUAAGAUGCUGAUUCAGGAGAUCUGGGGUAGGGCCCAAGUAACUAUUUGGAAAAAGCUUUCCAAGUGACUCUAAUGCAACAGGGGCAGAGACUGUCACAAAAGGUACUGAUAUAAAUAAUACAUGAUGGAAGGGGAAGUCUGUACUUCUUCAACAAGGACAGGAGGCAUUGUGUCAAGGACUACUCAAAGUGCAAAGAUGAUUUCACAUCUUUUUUUUUUUUUUUUUUUUUUUUGAGACAGGGUCUCGCUCUGUCACCCAGGCUAGAGUACAGUGGUGCAAUCUUGGUUUACUGCAACAUCUACCUCCCUGGCUCACACGAUUCUCCCACCUCAGUCUCCCGAAUAGCUGGGAUUACAGGCAUGUGCCACCACACCUGGAUAAUUUUUGUAUUUUAGCAGAGAUGGGGUUUCACCACAUUGGCCAGGCUGGCCUCGAACUCCUGACCUCAGAUGAUCUGCCCACCUCGGCCUCCCAAAGUGCUGGGAUUACAGGCAUGAGCCAUUGUGCCCAGCCCGUUUCACAUCUUUCUGGAAUGUCAAUUUUACUUGACAGAUACACUCUGAGACUUGAAAGAAGUCACCCUCUGAGAUGGGUCCCUGAUAUGGUUUGGUUAUGUCCCCACUCAAAUCUCAUCUUGAAUUAUAGCUCCCAUAAUCCCUACAUAUCAUGAGCGGUACCUGGUGGGAGGUAACUGAAUCAUUGGGGAGGGUUUUUCCCAUGCUGUUCUUGUGAUAGCAAAUAAGUCUCAAGCUGUGAUGGUUUUAUAAAUGGGAGUUUCCCUGCACACACUCUCUUGCCUGUCGCCAUGUAAGACGUGCCUUUGCUCCUCCUUCAUCUUCCACCAUGAUUGUGACGUCUCUCCAGCCAUGUGGAACUGUGAAUCUAUUAAACCUCUUUUUCUUUAUAAA
This 1006-nucleotide long non-coding RNA is filed under the name Homo sapiens (human). RNAcentral describes it as "HSALNT0310569". Lineage: Eukaryota; Metazoa; Chordata; Mammalia; Primates; Hominidae. The record is from RNAcentral.